AGAUAAGAGAUUGACACAGGAACAUUUAAAUUUUGCAAAUAAUUUUGUUUAUCGAAAUUCUUCAAUCCUUUUUUUUAUUGGAAAUAGGUUCGGGUGAAACGUGUAGGAAUUUGAAUUUGGACUUUUGCUUCUCUGCACAACACACGCCCGCUUGCUGUAAUCAAAACUAGUACAAUCGAAUGUUUGCCGUUUUCACCAAAACCAAGUAGAGUUGCUUACAUUUCUUGCUCUCCCAGCAAGCAAGAUGAUGGCUGAUUGUUAUUAUAUUGACAAAACCCUUGUUCCGU
Molecule: long non-coding RNA, 287 nt
Organism: Stomoxys calcitrans (stable fly)
Lineage: Eukaryota; Metazoa; Arthropoda; Insecta; Diptera; Muscidae
Exons: 2
Source: RefSeq, a predicted model, not a curated record